UACGUAGGGGGCAAGCGUUGUCCGGAACCAUUGGGCGUAAAGCGCGUGUAGGCGGCUUCGUAAGUCCGUUGUGAAAGUCCAGGGCUCAACCCUGGAAUGCCGAUGGAUACUGCGGAGCUAGAGUCCGGAAGAGGCGAGUGGAAUUCCUGGUGUAGCGGUGAAAUGCGCAGAUAUCAGGAGGAACACCAAUGGCGAAGGCAGCUCGCUGGGACGGUACUGACGCUGAGGCGCGAAAGCGUGGGGAGCAAACAGG
Molecule: ribosomal RNA, 253 nt
Filed under: uncultured bacterium
Lineage: Bacteria
Description: partial 16S ribosomal RNA
Rfam family: Bacterial small subunit ribosomal RNA
Source: RNAcentral